UGGUGUUGUGGUUAGCACGUUGGAUUUGUGAUCCGGCUGCCCGGGUUCGAAUCCCGG
Branchiostoma floridae (Florida lancelet) is the source of this 57-nucleotide non-coding RNA. The record is from Rfam. NCBI's taxonomy places the organism in Eukaryota, Metazoa, Chordata, Leptocardii, Amphioxiformes, Branchiostomatidae.